This is an RNA transcript of Gavialis gangeticus (Gharial), 3286 nucleotides long. It is a transcript of the gene named alpha-fetoprotein-like, with no coding region annotated. Lineage: Eukaryota; Metazoa; Chordata; Crocodylia; Gavialidae. The record is from RefSeq and is a predicted model, not a curated record. The transcript has 17 exons.
CAGAAGAGUAUAAAAGAAAAUUCUUUUUUUUGUGCAUCUUUCUACCUUCCGCGUGCAAUCCAGCACCACCGUCCUAAAAAUUCUGACAUAAUGAAGUGGGGAAUAUUAAUUUCUUUUCUUUUCUUUGUAAGCCUUACAAUAGCAAAAGCCCUGCCCAGAAGUUAUCGGGAUGUAGGGGAAAAAAAGACUAUCCGUGAAUGUUUUGCUGAGCUAGGAGAACAAAAUUUUAGAGCCAUAUCCAUGGUCAUGUUUGCUCAGUAUAUGCAGAAAGUCUCUUUUGAAAAAGCAGCUAAAAUGGUAGAUGAUGUCACAGAUCUUGCAAAAGAGUGUGUUGCUGAUGCCAGAGACCCAAAAUGUGCCAAGCCACUGACUACCUUUUUCCUGGCUGAAAUCUGCCAGGAGGAAGGCCUUACUGGAAUUACUGAGUGUUGUGCUAAAGAUGACUCUGAAAGAAAUGAAUGUUUUCUGUCUCAUAAAAAUGUUACCCAAGGAUUCAUUCAUCCCUUUAAAAAUCCAGAACUUGAAAAAGCAUGCAGUGAUUAUGCUGAUAACCAAAAUUCGCUAGUAGGGUAUUUCAUCUAUGAAAUUUCCAGAAGGCAUCCCUUCCUCUAUGCCCCAACAAUCCUUUUCACUGCUUACAAUUAUGAGAAGAUGAUGAACAACUGCUGUAGCGCUAAAAACAACCCUGAUUUUAACCUGACAGAAUGCUUUGUGAAACAGGCACCAGUUGUGAUGAAGCCAGUAAAAGAAGAUUGUUCCUUGCAGGAACACACCUGUGAGAUCCAGAAGAAAUUUGGAGAAAGAACAUUAAAGGCUCUGACGCUUGCUUUUUUCAGCCAGAAAUUUCCUAAGGCUGAAUUUAACACCACGAUGAAAAUUACAGUGGACAUGGUGGAGAUACACAAGCAAUGUUGUCAAGGAGACAUGCUGGCUUGUAUGCAUGACAGGGCAGAGUUUACAUCCUACGUAUGUUCCCACCAAGAUACCAUCUCAAGUAAAAUUCAAAACUGCUGUGAAAAGCCUGUGCUUGAAAGAAUUAAAUGUAUAUUUAUGUCAGAAAAUGAUGACAAACCCACAGGCUUGUCACCUCAAGUCAGACAGUUUAUAGAGGACCAAGAUGUCUGCAAACGCUUUGAAGAGGAAAAAGAUGUCUACUUGUCCAGAUUUCUCUAUGAAUAUUCCAGAAGACACCCCGAGUUCUCUGUUCUAAUGCUUUCAAGAAUUGGUAGAGGAUACCACGGUUUACUGGAAAAGUGCUGCAAAACCAGCUCUCCUCAAGAGUGCUAUGGCACAGGGGAAGAAGAGCUGAGAAAACACAUCCAGGAGUCCAUAGCAGUGUUAAAGACCAACUGUGAACAAUACAAGGAACUGGGAGAUUAUGCUUUCCAAAAUGAGCUUCUUCUGCGCUAUACCAAGAGAAUGCCUCAGCUGCCCUCCAAAGAGCUGAUCCAAUACACAGAACAAAUGGUGGCAGUUGCUUCCAGGUGCUGUCAGCUCAGCGAUGACAAACAAAUGCUGUGUUCGGAUGGAUAUUUGGAUCUUGUGGUUGGGGAAAUAUGUAGAAGACAAGGGACUGAUCCUAUAAACCAGAAUGUCUGCCGUUGUUGUGAUGACUCCUAUGCUCUCAGGACUACCUGUAUCGCCAGCUUGGAUGUUGAUGAAAAAUACAUACCAAUACCAUUGACUCCUAGUCUGUUUACCUUUGAUGAAGGAUUGUGUACAACUGAAGAGUACAAACUACAAGAAAAGAAGCAGAAUCUGCUCAUCAACCUCAUCAAACACAAGCCUCACAUUACAAAAGAACAGCUGGACUCCAUCACUACAGCUUUUACCACCUUUAGAGAGAAGUGCUGCAAGGUGGACAACCAUAAUGCAUGCUUUGCGGAAGAGGGCCCAAAUCUGAUUACCCAGGGCAAGACUAUUUUGGGAGAAUAAAACCACUCAGUGGAAGAAGAUGGUGAUAAAAUUCAUCCGUGCUCCAUUUAUUCUGUGCUUUCUUUUCUUUUUGCCAUCUAUGUCUAAGAACUCCCAAGUGAAGGAAACAAGAUUCUUCUAUUAUUUUCAUCUCUCAGUUUUGUGACCAUUCAAUAAUGAAUAACAACUUAAAAAACACCUCCCUCCCUGUCCUGGCCUGUUGAUUCACUGCAUGAAGAAUUACUUGAAAACAAUUUCCUACAGCACCAUUACCAGUUCUUGUUGCAGCACCAUUACCAAUUCUUAGCUGUAUUUCCUUAGCUGGUUAUGCCAAUUCAGAGAAUUUAUCAUUUUAAACCAGGCUUCUUAGUUAUUUUUAUAAUGUCCAAAAACAUAUUUGGCAUUCUCUGAAUAUAGGAAAACAGGUCUGUGUCCUGACUAGCUUUCUGUCUGAAGUCUGUUUAGACUGUAAAAGCAGAGGUGACAGAGUCCAAACAGUGGAUACAUGUAAGGAUAAUAUUUAAACCACAUACUGUACUUAAAUCUCAUGAAUUUAGGUGGGACUGAAAAUUAAGAAUGCACUUAAAUCAAGGAUGACACCAUCAGCAAAUACUAGAUAUGCAUCUCAAACUUGUUUACAGAAUGAAGGUCCAUAGGAAGAUGCUGGGAAACAGUGGUGACUGAAAGCAACACCCUACCUGCUGUAGUCAAGUGACUAGGCCUAGUGAAACCAAUUGGGCAAGUAUGCUUCAGGAAUCAAAAGAAAAAAAGGGAACUGACAAACAUUUUGGAAAAAUCAGUCCCUUAGCAUUUUUAAAGUCCUUCAUCACUCUGCAAAAGUUCUUAAGUGUGACUUCUUUAUAAGAGGCUUUAGACUUCUUUAUAAGAUGGUCCCUCACGAUAGACUUGCUGGGUAAGAAAGGGAGCUCUCUCGAUUUGAGGUGCUAGCCAGACAGACCAUACAGCUUCCCAUAGAUCUCAGACUGAGGAAUACAACUAUGCUGCAAUAUCAUCAAAGAGAUCUGCUGAAGUCCUGCCUCAGAUUUAGCAACAGGGGGCAGGAGGACCAGGAGAUUCAGGCUGCUGAUUCAAUACCACAGCUCCUUUCAUGCCUCAAUGCAUCUCUAGUAUGUAUGAGUCUUCCCCAAAUCAAGAAGUAUGAGACUGAGAAUUGAGCUUCAAUGCUCACUUUCUUAUUUGUAAAGACUCAUAUUAUGAUUGCUGAAGCACCCCUCAUCUCAUGCCACAAAUGCACUUCUGGACUCUGGAACCUCACAUUUUCUAGCUCACCUGUAGUAUGCACCAAACCCCCAAGAGUUCCCUUGCUCUAAUUAUAUUGUUAUUUUUUUUUUAAGUAGAGGCUUGUUUUUGU